UAACUGCCCAAGAGAUCGGGAUAACACCUGGAAACAGAUGCUAAUACCGGAUAACAACAGAUGAUGCCUAUCAACUGUUUAAAAGAUGGUUCUGCUAUCACUCUUGGAUGGACCUGCGGUGCAUUAGCUAGUUGGUAGGGUAACGGCCUACCAAGGCGAUGAUGCAUAGCCGAGUUGAGAGACUGAUCGGCCACAUUGGGACUGAGACACGGCCCAAACUCCUACGGGAGGCAGCAGCA
This 239-nucleotide ribosomal RNA is filed under the name uncultured Lactobacillus sp. RNAcentral describes it as "partial 16S ribosomal RNA". It matches the Rfam family "Bacterial small subunit ribosomal RNA", at positions 122 to 355 of the family's 1533-position model. The record is from RNAcentral. Lineage: Bacteria; Bacillati; Bacillota; Bacilli; Lactobacillales; Lactobacillaceae.